This 512-nucleotide ribosomal RNA is filed under the name uncultured bacterium. RNAcentral describes it as "partial 16S ribosomal RNA". It matches the Rfam family "Bacterial small subunit ribosomal RNA", at positions 28 to 507 of the family's 1533-position model. The record is from RNAcentral.
GAUGAACGCUGGCGGCGUGCCUAAUACAUGCGAGUCGAACGAAACUUCUUUAUCACCGAGUGCUUGCACUCACCGAUAAAGAGUUGAGUGGCGAACGGGUGGGUAACACGUGGGCAACCUGCCCAAAAGAGGGGGAUAACACUUGGAAACAGGUGCUAAUACCGCAUAACCAUAGUUACCGCAUGGUAACUAUGUAAAAGGUGGCUAUACUACCGCUUUUGGAUGGGCCCGCGGCGCAUUAGCUAGUUGGUAGGGUAAAGGCUUACCAAGGCAAUGAUGCGUAGCCGAAUUGAGAGGUUGAUCGGCCACAUUGGGACUGAGACACGGCCCAAACUCCUACGGGAGGCAGCAGUAGGGAAUCUUCCACAAUGGGCGAAAGCCUGAUGGAGCAACGCCGCGUGGGUGAAGAAGGUCUUCGGAUCGUAAAACCCUGUUGUUAGAGAAGAAAGUGCGUGAGAGUAACUGUUCACGUUUCGACGGUAUCUAACCAGAAAGCCACGGCUAACUACGUG